CCUACGGGAGGCUGCAGUGAGGAAUAUUGGUCAAUGGGCGCGAGCCUGAACCAGCCAAGUCGCGUGAAGGAUGACGGUCCUAUGGUUUGUAAACCUCUUUUAUAUGGGAACAAAGUGCGCAACGCGUUGCGUUCUGUGAGUACCAUACGAACAAGCAUCGGCUAACUCCGUGCCAGCAGCCGCGGUAAUACGGAGGAUGCGAGCGUUAUCCGGAUUUAUUGGGUUUAAAGGGUGCGAAGGCGGAAGAUAAAGUCAGCGGUAAAAUUGUGAGGCCAAACCUAAUAUAGCCGUUGAAACUGGUUUUCUUGAGUGAGUUUGAAGUAGGCGGAAUGCGUGGUGUAGCGGUGAAAUGCAUAGAUAUCACGCAGAACUCCGAUUGCGAAGGCAGCAUACUGGA
This 397-nucleotide ribosomal RNA is filed under the name uncultured bacterium. Its description in RNAcentral is "partial 16S ribosomal RNA". It matches the Rfam family "Bacterial small subunit ribosomal RNA", at positions 338 to 733 of the family's 1533-position model. The record is from RNAcentral.